CGCGCAGGCGGUUUGAAUAGUCAGAUGUGAAAGCCCACGGCUUAACCGUGGAAGUGCAUUUGAAACUGUCAGACUUGAGUACCAGAGGGGAAAGUGGAAUUCCCGGUGUAGAGGUGAAAUUCGUAGAUAUCGGGAGGAAUACCGGUGGCGAAGGCGACUUUCUGGCUGGAUACUGACGCUGAGGCGCGAAAGCGUGGGGAGCGAACA
RNAcentral lists this ribosomal RNA (207 nucleotides) under uncultured Desulfobulbus sp. RNAcentral describes it as "partial 16S ribosomal RNA". It matches the Rfam family "Bacterial small subunit ribosomal RNA", at positions 568 to 774 of the family's 1533-position model. The record is from RNAcentral. Lineage: Bacteria; Pseudomonadati; Thermodesulfobacteriota; Desulfobulbia; Desulfobulbales; Desulfobulbaceae.